AGAGUUUGAUCAUGGCUCAGAUUGAACGCUGGCGGCAGGCUUAACACAUGCAAGUCGAGCGGAGACUUCGGUCUUAGCGGCGAACGGGUGAGUAAUACCUAGGAAUCUGCCUAUUAGUGGGGGAUAACGAAUCGAAAGGUUCGCUAAUACCGCAUACGUCCUACGGGAGAAAGGGGGGGGAUCUUCGGACCUCUCGCUAAUAGAUGAGCCUAGGCCGGAUUAGCUAGUUGGUAGGGUAAAGGCCUACCAAGGCGACGAUCUGUAGCUGGUCUGAGAGGAUGGCCAGCCACACUGGAACUGAGACACGGUCCAGACUCCUACGGGAGGCAGCAGUGGGGAAUAUUGGACAAUGGGGGCAACCCUGAUCCAGCCAUGCCGCGUGUGUGAAGAAGGCCUUCGGGUUGUAAGGCACUUUAAGCGAGGAGGAAGGUUUUUAGUUUAAUACACUAAAGAAUUGACGUUACUCGCAGAAUAAGCACCGGCUAACUCUGUG
This 493-nucleotide ribosomal RNA is filed under the name uncultured bacterium. RNAcentral describes it as "bacterial SSU rRNA". It matches the Rfam family "Bacterial small subunit ribosomal RNA", at positions 8 to 507 of the family's 1533-position model. The record is from RNAcentral.